Molecule: ribosomal RNA, 440 nt
Filed under: uncultured bacterium
Lineage: Bacteria
Description: partial 16S ribosomal RNA
Rfam family: Bacterial small subunit ribosomal RNA
Source: RNAcentral
CCUACGGGUGGCAGCAGUAGGGAAUAUUGCUCAAUGGUCGAAACCCUGAACCAGCAACGCAGCGUGGAGGAUGACGGCUUUCGGAGUGUAAACUCCUUUUGUUGGAGAAGAUAAUGACGGUAUCUAACGAAUAAGCACCGUCUAACUCCGUUCCAGCCGCCGCGGUAAUACGGAGGGUGCCAGCGUUACUCGGAAUCACUGGGCGUAAAGCGCGCGUAGGCGGGAUAGCAAGUCAGAUGUGAAAUCCUAUGGCGUAACCAUAGAACUGCAUUUGAAACUGUUAUUCUAGAGUGUGGGAGAGGUAGGUGGAAUUCGUGGUGUAGGGGUAAAAUGCGUAGAGAUCAAGAGGAAUACUCAUUGCGAAGGCGACCUGCGAGAACACAACUGACGCUGAUGCGCGAAAGCGUGGGGAGCAAACAGGAUUAGAUACCCCUGUAGUC